AUACAUCCAAGUCGAGCGAAGUUUUUUGGUGCUUGCACUAGAAAAACUUAGCGGCGAACGGGUGAGUAACACGUAAAGAACCUGCCUCAUAGACUGGGACAACUAUUGGAAACGAUAGCUAAUACCGGAUAACAGCAUUAACUGCAUGGUUGAUGUUUGAAAGUUGGUUUUGCUAACACUAUGAGAUGGCUUUGCGGUGCAUUAGCUAGUUGGUGGGGUAAAGGCCUACCAAGGCGACGAUGCAUAGCCGACCUGAGAGGGUGAUCGGCCACACUGGGAUUGAGACACGGCCCAGACUCCUACGGGAGGCAGCAGUAGGGAAUCUUCCGCAAUGGGCGAAAGCCUGACGGAGCAACGCCGCGUGAGUGAAGAAGGAUUUCGGUUCGUAAAGCUCUGUUGUUAGGGAAGAAAUGA
RNAcentral lists this ribosomal RNA (414 nucleotides) under Gemella haemolysans. RNAcentral describes it as "bacterial SSU rRNA". It matches the Rfam family "Bacterial small subunit ribosomal RNA", at positions 51 to 453 of the family's 1533-position model. The record is from RNAcentral. Lineage: Bacteria; Bacillati; Bacillota; Bacilli; Caryophanales; Gemellaceae.